GGCCCCGUAGUUAAAUGGAUAUAACCAGCGUUUCCUAAACGUUAAUUCCAAGUUCGAUUCUUGGCGGGGCUA
Molecule: transfer RNA, 72 nt
Filed under: Cryomorphaceae bacterium BACL18 MAG-120507-bin74
Lineage: Bacteria; Pseudomonadati; Bacteroidota; Flavobacteriia; Flavobacteriales; Cryomorphaceae
Also listed under: 1 other name
Description: tRNA-Arg
Rfam family: tRNA
About the family: Transfer RNA (tRNA) molecules are approximately 80 nucleotides in length. Their secondary structure includes four short double-helical elements and three loops (D, anti-codon, and T loops).
Source: RNAcentral